This 71-nucleotide transfer RNA is filed under the name Camelus ferus (Wild Bactrian camel). It matches the Rfam family "tRNA". From Rfam's summary of the family: Transfer RNA (tRNA) molecules are approximately 80 nucleotides in length. Their secondary structure includes four short double-helical elements and three loops (D, anti-codon, and T loops). The record is from Rfam by way of RNAcentral. Lineage: Eukaryota; Metazoa; Chordata; Mammalia; Artiodactyla; Camelidae.
GAGGGUAGAGCUCAGUGGUAGAGCGUAUGCUUAGCAUGCAUAAGGUUCUGGGUUCAAUCCCCAGUACCUCG